Non-coding RNA from Schizosaccharomyces pombe (fission yeast), 386 nucleotides. The record is from the annotation of a GenBank genome assembly. NCBI's taxonomy places the organism in Eukaryota, Fungi, Ascomycota, Schizosaccharomycetes, Schizosaccharomycetales, Schizosaccharomycetaceae.
AGCAAUUAGCAUUUGCAAUCAUAAACUAGACGAUCAUAAUCAAUCAAAGUAAUUGACAAACAACAACACUAUGAAUUGAUAUACGUACAACUAUGGAGUUGUCACAUCUCUGCAAAACUACAACCAAAGUAAAUUCAAUUUAGUUUGCUUAUUUUAACUUCUGAUUGUCAGUAACUUACCAUAUAUACUCAACGCAUUCUUUCCCAUUGCCGCGGAAUUUGUACAAAUUUGACUAGUGAGGUUCGCUAAACUUCUUGAUGAUAGUAGUAUCGACAGAUUGUCAUCACCGUAUGUCUUGAAAUAAUUAGUUGGGUGUUUGCAUUCCCCAAUGAAAUAAAAAAUCUUCAAUAUUUAACUUUAUUUUUAUUAUUUAAAGUACAAAUUAC